RNAcentral lists this ribosomal RNA (253 nucleotides) under uncultured bacterium. Its description in RNAcentral is "partial 16S ribosomal RNA". It matches the Rfam family "Bacterial small subunit ribosomal RNA", at positions 524 to 776 of the family's 1533-position model. The record is from RNAcentral.
UACGUAGGGUGCGAGCGUUAAUCGGAAUUACUGGGCGUAAAGCGUGCGCAGGCGGCCGCGCAAGUCGAGUGUGAAAUCCCCGAGCUUAACUUGGGAAUUGCGCUCGAAACUACGUGGCUGGAGUGUGGCAGAGGAAGGUGGAAUUCCACGUGUAGCGGUGAAAUGCGUAGAGAUGUGGAGGAACACCGAUGGCGAAGGCAGCCUUCUGGGCCAACACUGACGCUCAUGCACGAAAGCGUGGGGAGCAAACGGG